GCGCCCGUAGCUCAGCUGGACUAGAGCAACCGCCUUCUAAGCGGUAGGUCGCUGGUUCGAAUCCAGCCGGGCGCGCCA
Molecule: transfer RNA, 78 nt
Filed under: Alphaproteobacteria bacterium
Lineage: Bacteria; Pseudomonadati; Pseudomonadota; Alphaproteobacteria
Description: tRNA-Arg
Rfam family: tRNA
About the family: Transfer RNA (tRNA) molecules are approximately 80 nucleotides in length. Their secondary structure includes four short double-helical elements and three loops (D, anti-codon, and T loops).
Source: RNAcentral